UAAGAUCACAAGACUCGAGGGGUAAUUUUGUAUGUUAUACACACCUUUAGUUUAAGACCACAAGAAUCAAAAGUUUUCUAUCCAUUCUUAAACUUCAUGCCUAGUCAAACUAAGGCACUAAAUGAGACGGGUAAUAUAUAACACCAAUCUUUUAUACACCCAAAAACAAGAAAAAAACUGCCUAAAAGAUGGAAGGUUACAACUUUAUAUUCUUCAAAGUAUAAGGGUCCAAUCACUUGAUUUACCGGGAGAAACCUCAUACUAAGACACCUACAAAAUAAGCAUCAAAUUGGACGCGGUGUGGAGGUUGAGGAAUAGUGUAGAAGGUUAGGUGGCCGAGUGAUUUUUCUUGGUCUUACUAAGUAGAAUUUGUACAUAAUAUCAUCUUGUUUUAAGCCUUAGGUUUCUAUUAUUGCUUGUUGUUGCUUUCAUUUUGGUUAUCUUACUAUCUUGUUGUUUCCGAUGCUUUUUUCCAUGGCUCCUCAUUUUUGUUUCUGGCUGUUUCCUUUUCAUUGUAGUUGUGCUUAUGCUUCACUAACCCGGGACUCUAUUGGAAACAACCUCUCUAACUCCACUAGAUAGUGGUAAGGUCCGCAUACACACUACCCUCCCCAGAUCCCACUGUGUGGAAUCAUACUGGAUUUUUGUUACUGUUGUUGUUGUUGCUGUUGUUAUCGUUGUAGUAUUUGCAAUCUUCAAUCCCAUGAAAACAACUAUGUUAUAUUCAAUAAUCAAAUUCUGAUACAUUACAUGGUCUGCUUUAGGGGCACAAAAGGUCCACUACAAGCUUAAGAACUCUCAGUAAUUCCAAAGAAAAGAUGUCCUUAAAGAAUGCUAAAUUUCAAAACCCAACGCCUUUUUUACAAGGUAAUAGAAUUUCCUUAAUGAAAGGCAUAAAUACCCAUAUACAAGAUGUAUGCCAAAAUAGAGAAACCUCACAAAAACCAACCCCUUAUUCGCUAGCAUGACCAGAAGGAGCACAAUUCAAGGAAACCACUCAUCAGUGGACAAGAGAAAUUUUUUAAAAGUUUAUAUCAAUGGGUACCCUGAGUGCCUCCAAUUUUGGUUCCCAUAAAGCAGAACCCAAAGUAGACAAAUUUCACAUUCACGUCUAACUGAAUGUCAACAGGCACUCAUCUCCAGAAUUGCUAAAAUAACUCUUUACCAACAUCACGUAAAAGGUUAGAAUUCAACAACGCUUCUAGACAAGUUGCAACAAUGUAAUCAUGAAACAAUUGAGACUUGACAGUGAAACGGUUUCAGAGGCAUUGGCAGAAACACAAUACAAAAAGUAAAAGGUUAGAAUUAAACAACACUUCUAGACAAGUUGCAACAAUGUAAUCAUGAAACAAUUGAGACUUGACCGUGAAAAGGUUUCAGAGGCAUUUGCAGAAACACAAUGCAAAAACUUCUAAUACUGCAAUAAGGUAUUGGCACAACCAGGUUAUCUGUCAACUAACUCCUUUCCCAUCAAAUGAACAUGUGGCUGCUUCCACUGAAUCCUUGGCUAAUACCACCAUGUUAUGACUACCAUUCUUCAGGUAAACCCCGCUAUAUUUUUUCUAUAAAUAGGUAAACUUAGUUAUCUAAAUCGAGUCGUAUACUGCCCAUGUAAAAGCCAUAAGGAAACCGAUCUUCAGAGGCUCAUAUUGUCAUAUAGAAGCCAAUAACAUAUAACAUUCUCUAUUAUGAAAUAUAAUCAAAAGGUAUUUACAAGAGAUGCACUGUAAAAAUAUACUCGCCAAUAACAUAUAACAUUCUCUAUUGU
This 1768-nucleotide long non-coding RNA is filed under the name Nicotiana benthamiana. RNAcentral describes it as "long non-coding RNA (NBEN_LNC011753)". Lineage: Eukaryota; Viridiplantae; Streptophyta; Magnoliopsida; Solanales; Solanaceae. The record is from RNAcentral.